Molecule: ribosomal RNA, 402 nt
Filed under: uncultured prokaryote
Description: bacterial SSU rRNA
Rfam family: Bacterial small subunit ribosomal RNA
Source: RNAcentral
UAGUGAAUAUUAGAAAUGGACGAAAGUCUGAUCUAGCAACACCGCGUGUGCGAUGAAGGCCUUCGGGUUGUAAAGCACUUUUUGGAAGGAUUAGGAAGGAAUGUACUUCCAGAAUAAGUCUCGGCUAACUACGUGCCAGCAGCCGCGGUAACACGUAGGAGGCGAACGUUAUCCGGAUUUACUGGGCGUAAAGCGCGUGUAGGUGGUUCUGUAAGUAGGGCGUGAAAGCUCCUGGCUCAACUGGGAGAGGCCGUUCUAAACUACAGAACUAGAGGGUGGUAGAGGGAGGUGGAAUUCCAGGUGUAGCGGUGGAAUGCGCAGAUAUCUGGAGGAACACCAGUGGCGAAGGCGGCCUCCUGGACCAUUCCUGACACUCAGACGCGAAAGCUAGGGUAGCAAACG